RNAcentral lists this ribosomal RNA (253 nucleotides) under uncultured prokaryote. RNAcentral's name for it is "partial 16S ribosomal RNA". It matches the Rfam family "Bacterial small subunit ribosomal RNA", at positions 524 to 776 of the family's 1533-position model. The record is from RNAcentral.
UACGUAGGGGGCGAGCGUUGCUCGGAUUCACUGGGCGUAAAGCGCGCGUAGGCGGCUUGUUAAGUGGGAAGUUAAAGACCCCGGCUCAACCGGGGGGCUGCUUCUCAAACUGGCAAGCUCGAGUGUAGGAGAGGGAAGUGGAAUUCCUGGUGUAGCGGUGAAAUGCGUUGAUAUCAGGAGGAACACCAAUGGCGAAGGCAGCUUCCUGGCCUACUACUGACGCUGAGGCGCGAAAGCGUGGGGAGCGAACGGG